CAAUAGCGUAUAUUAAAGUUGUUGCAGUUAAAAAGCUCGUAGUUGGAUUUCUGGUGGGAGCGAUCGGUCUGGCGCUUAGCGCGAGUACUUGCAUCGUCUCCGGCCAUCCUUGGGGAGAGUCUGUCUGGCAUUAGGUUGUCGGGCAGAGGAUCCUCAUCGUUUACUGUGAAAAAAUUAGAGUGUUCAAAGCAGGCUUAUGCCGUUGAAUAUAUUAGCAUGGAAUAAUAAGAUAGGACUUUGGUACUAUUUUGUUGGUUUGCGCACCAAAGUAAUGAUUAAUAGGGACAGUUGGGGGUAUUCGUAUUCCGUUGUCAGAGGUGAAAUUCUUGGAUUUACGGUAGACGAACUACUGCGAAAGCAUUUACCAAGGAUGUUUUCAUUAA
RNAcentral lists this ribosomal RNA (383 nucleotides) under uncultured eukaryote. Its description in RNAcentral is "partial 18S ribosomal RNA". It matches the Rfam family "Eukaryotic small subunit ribosomal RNA", at positions 592 to 976 of the family's 1831-position model. The record is from RNAcentral.